Molecule: ribosomal RNA, 402 nt
Filed under: uncultured bacterium
Lineage: Bacteria
Description: bacterial SSU rRNA
Rfam family: Bacterial small subunit ribosomal RNA
Source: RNAcentral
UGAGGAAUAUUGCGCAAUGGGCGAAAGCCUGACGCAGCGACGCCGCGUGGACGAUGAAGGUCUUCGGAUCGUAAAGUCCUUUUCUGCGUGACGAGGAAGGACGGUAGCGCAGGAAUAAGUGUCGGCUAACUACGUGCCAGCAGCCGCGGUAACACGUAGGACGCAAGCGUUAUCCGGAAUUACUGGGCGUAAAGGGCGUGUAGGCGGCACGGUAAGUCAACCGUGAAAGCUCCCGGCUAAACUGGGAGAGGUCGGAUGAGACUGCCGAGCUAGAGGGUCGUAGAGGGGUGUGGAAUUCCGGGUGUAGUGGUGAAAUGCGUAGAGAUCCGGAGGAACACCAGAGGCGAAGGCGGCACCCUGGACGACACCAGACGCUGAGACGCGACAGGCACGGGGGAGCGA